CCAUUUUUAUUCGAAAACUGAACGUUUUAGGGGAGGUCAAAGGAGUUGACUUUUUAUACGUUCAUAAUUGGGGAAAACUUCCUUCAUGAAAGUUGUAGAGCUCGUCGAUACGAUCUCGUGCAUAUGUGGUAUGCAAAAAUCAGAGUUCGUAUGAAUUAGUUAUGAUUUUUUUGAAAAAGUUUCCAGUUUAGUAUAAAGCUGCCAUUUUUGGAAAUUACCAAAAAUAAUUUCAGUUCCAUUUCUGGAAACCGAACUCUCUCUCUCUUGCGCGCGUCCGAGCCCAGAAAAAACAGAGCAAAGCUCUCCGGCCGAGUUCUCCCUCCUCCGGCCACCAAUCGACACCAGACCACCUCCCUUGCCUUCGCCUCGACGCCGCCUACCUGCUAGACGUGAUCACUUCCACCGGAACGGCCUCAAAUCCGGCAGUCGGAGCCGCAAACUUUGAAACAAAAAUCGGUCAACGCCGGUUUUCUCCUAGCUCCGGCCACCAAAACUCACGAUCCUUAGCUCCCUGAACUCGCCUCAACCUUCUGAUCAUCAUUCUAGAAGGAUCGCACCUGGAGUGAUCGGAUUCACGUUCGUCGGAGCUCGCCGGAUUCUGGAAAUUUUCCACCACCACCGAAGCUUUUGAUAGAAGGAAUCGAAGCCUGAAAUUGAAGUUUUGACGUCGAAAUCAAGCCUUGCCGGAUUCUGCAAAAUUCUGGAAUUUUUCCGACCACCGAAGCUUUCGAUCGGUAUAUCUCGAGCUACAGACCAUAUUUUUCUGUGAUUCUUGAACCAGUGAGUUCUUCUUGAGUUUCUUAACAACUCUUCAGAAGGAAUCGAAGCCUUAAAUUGACGUUUUUACGUCGAAUUGGAGCUCGCCGUUUUCUGCAGUUUCUCGCCGGUUUCUGGAAAAUUCCGGCCACCUUCAUACUGUUCAAGGUGAUCGACGGUUUGAUUUGGCGGACGAUUCGUGAAAUUGUAUUUUGAGCUGUUAAGAAGACGCAGCGGGAAUUUAGAGCGGGUAAUCCUACAGGUCAGGAGAACCAGGACGGUGAUCGGGCUGCUUAGAGUAGUGUUAUGUGAAUUACAGCAUUAUAUUGUGAGGUUUGUUAUGCUCAUUUAGAGCUUUACGAUUUUACUUUGUAAGAGUGAAUUGUAAUAAUUAACUCGAGGUUUUCGAGUUUUGUGUUGA
Long non-coding RNA from Rosa rugosa (rugosa rose), 1177 nucleotides. RefSeq lists it as uncharacterized. The transcript has 4 exons. NCBI's taxonomy places the organism in Eukaryota, Viridiplantae, Streptophyta, Magnoliopsida, Rosales, Rosaceae. The record is from RefSeq and is a predicted model, not a curated record.